Molecule: ribosomal RNA, 499 nt
Filed under: uncultured bacterium
Lineage: Bacteria
Description: partial 16S ribosomal RNA
Rfam family: Bacterial small subunit ribosomal RNA
Source: RNAcentral
GACGAACGCUGGCGGCGUGCCUAAUACAUGCAAGUCGAGCGAAGUUUUUCUGGUGCUUGCACUAGAAAAACUUAGCGGCGAACGGGUGAGUAACACGUAAAGAACCUGCCUCAUAGACUGGGACAACUAUUGGAAACGAUAGCUAAUACCGGAUAACAGUAUUUCUCGCAUGAGAGAUAUUUAAAAGUUGGUUAUGCUAACACUAUGAGAUGGCUUUGUGGUGCAUUAGCUAGUUGGUGGGGUAAAGGCCCACCAAGGCGACGAUGCAUAGCCGACCUGAGAGGGUGAUCGGCCACACUGGGACUGAGACACGGCCCAGACUCCUACGGGAGGCAGCAGUAGGGAAUCUUCCGCAAUGGGCGAAAGCCUGACGGAGCAACGCCGCGUGAGUGAAGAAGGAUUUCGGUUCGUAAAGCUCUGUUGUUAGGGAAGAAUGGAUAUGUAGUAACUAUACAUGUAAGAGACGGUACCUAACCAGAAAGCCACGGCUAACUACGUG